GGAGUUUAUUUUUUGGGAGCAAAAAGGCCAGUAACACAGAGGAAGUCGGCCUCCUUUGUGCAAGUCUCCAUUAUUUAUACAGCAAUGACACUUUUUGGGCAACAGUCAGCAUUUGAGCUAGUGAGCAGACAGCCCGGGGUCACUCCCAGAACAGCGGCUGCAAAAAUGCGCUGAGUUUUACAGUUGUGCCAAUGUGCAGAGCAGUCUGUCGGUGCCAUCCUGCCUCCUCUGGAGAUCAGUGCCAUCACCCCAGCAGCUGAGAUGCAACACAUAUCCCCUUUUUGGCAACCUCUCUGAAGGGGGCUUGUGGCCUCCUGUCCACCGCAGAACUGCCUUCAUCAGGAAAACGGGGUACAGGUGUCUUGACUCUGUUACUGAAUCCACAAGGUGGAAGAAGUCCAAGGCUGAAUGGAGCAUCAUUCCCCAGCAACUCGUACCAGAUGUUAAAGAAAUGAAUAGAAAUGAAAGUCAGCAUUCCCUGGGACAAAAGUAUCAAGGCAAGGAAGACCCUUUGCAAAGGAAAAUAAAACAAAACAAAACCAACCAAACAAAAACCCCAAAUCAAUACAAGUGUCAGUGUUCCCAGAACCCGGACCUACGCCAACAUGCCAGAGGUCCUGAAGUACAUGGAAAUACCUUAAGAAAUGAUGACAGCAGGCAUCUUUUCCUCCUCUUUUUCACUGGUGGGUUUGCUCCCUUGUGUUUGCUGCAGAUGAAGGUCCAUGGACAGUCCCCAUGCAGCAGGUUAUGA
This 751-nucleotide long non-coding RNA is filed under the name Anser cygnoides (Swan goose). RNAcentral describes it as "lncRNA (ENSACDG00005002585.1)". The record is from RNAcentral. Lineage: Eukaryota; Metazoa; Chordata; Aves; Anseriformes; Anatidae.